GAUGAAGAACGUAGCGAAAUGCGAUACGUAAUGUGAAUUGCAAAUUCAGUGAAUCAUCGAGUCUUUGAACGCACAUUGCGCCCCCUGGUAUUCCGGGGGGCAUGCCUGUCCGAGCGUCAUUGCUGCCCUCAAGCACGGCUUGUGUGUUGGGCCCCGUCCUCCGAUUCCGGGGGACGGGCCCGAAAGGCAGCGGCGGCACCGCGUCCGGUCCUCGAGCGUAUGGGGCUUUGUCACCCGCUCUGUAGGCCCGGCCGGCGCUUGCCGAUCAACCCAAAUUUUUAUCCAGGUUGACCUCGGAUCAGGUAGGGAUACCCGCUGAACUUAAGCAUAUCAAUAACGGAGGA
This 344-nucleotide unclassified non-coding RNA is filed under the name soil metagenome. RNAcentral describes it as "partial contains 5.8S ribosomal RNA, internal transcribed spacer 2, and large subunit ribosomal RNA". The stretch from base 1 to 119 matches the Rfam family "5.8S ribosomal RNA", at positions 35 to 154 of the family's 154-position model. The record is from RNAcentral.